AUUGAACGCUGGCGGCAGGCCUAACACAUGCAAGUCGAGCGGAUGAAGGGAGCUUGCUCCUGGAUUCAGCGGCGGACGGGUGAGUAAUGCCUAGGAAUCUGCCUGGUAGUGGGGGAUAACGUCCGGAAACGGGCGCUAAUACCGCAUACGUCCUGAGGGAGAAAGUGGGGGAUCUUCGGACCUCACGCUAUCAGAUGAGCCUAGGUUGGAUUAGCUAGUUGGUGGGGUAAAGGCCUACCAAGGCGACGAUCCGUAACUGGUCUGAGAGGAUGAUCAGUCACACUGGAACUGAGACACGGUCCAGACUCCUACGGGAGGCAGCAGUGGGGAAUAUUGGACAAAGGGCGAAAGCCUGAUCCAGCCAUGCCGCGUGUGUGAAGAAGGUCUUCGGAUUGUAAAGCACUUUAAGUUGGGAGGAAGGGCAGUAAGUUAAUACCUUGCUGUUUUGACGUUACCAACAGAAUAAGCACCGGCUAACUUCGUG
RNAcentral lists this ribosomal RNA (484 nucleotides) under uncultured bacterium. RNAcentral's name for it is "partial 16S ribosomal RNA". It matches the Rfam family "Bacterial small subunit ribosomal RNA", at positions 30 to 507 of the family's 1533-position model. The record is from RNAcentral.